Molecule: long non-coding RNA, 22206 nt
Filed under: Triticum aestivum (bread wheat)
Lineage: Eukaryota; Viridiplantae; Streptophyta; Magnoliopsida; Poales; Poaceae
Description: long non-coding RNA (TAES_LNC010120)
Rfam family: MIR1120/MIR1122 microRNA precursor family (bases 13942-14076)
Source: RNAcentral
GAAGAUUGAUUCUUGCAGAUGUGUGGGAAGAACUUGUGGAGAGGCUCACCUCACUCUUCACAAAAGGCCAAUACAUGCUUGUUGUACUCCUGGAUGAAUUUGUAUCUCUAUAUAUAUGUUUGUAAAUGUUUCUUGUGUGGCUUUAGUGAUGCCUUCUAGGAUCCUUGUUGUAAUGGACAGAAUAUUUUGUUAGAAAGGAUAAUGGAUGAAACAACUGGGAAUUUGUGAACUGGGCCAAAUUAUGUGCCUGGGACAUCAAGAUAAUUGAGUUGUGUAAGUUUGUUGUGCUAGUUGGGCUGAUGGAUGGAAUGGAUUGUUUUUGAAUUGGGUGAAUCAUAAGCCCAAAUUUUCAUGUUGGGCCUUAUUGGGCCAGCAAAAAUAGGAUAUUGGGCCGGGCUAGACAGAAAUAAGUGGGCCAAAACAUUAUUGGGCUAGAGGCCACACUGGUGCCAUGUUGGCGCCAGGUAGAUGCCACCUCAGACCCAUGCUGGUGCCAAGCAGAUGCCAUGUCAGAAUCAUGUUGCUGCCACAUCAUGUCAAUCCUUGACGGAUUAGUCCGUCACAGAGGCCCGGGCCCGGGGCGGGCUUGUGUACUAAUCGGUGAGGUCAGGAGCCGUCAUGAUGGUGCAGUUAUCAAAUUAUGACGCGAUAUACAUGAUGGAUUCUAAAUCCGUCACAGGCCUCCCUCCAUGACGGUAUUCCACUGUUCUGUGACAGAUUGAAUCCGUCAUGGAUUAACAAGAUUCUUGUAGUGGUGGCGAGCGCGCCGACGACGCCUUGCCACCUCCUGCUUCAGCCACACAACCCCGGCCCUCCAGACGUGCCACGGAGACGCCCAGCGCUCCCUCUCGCUUCCCCUCCUCUCCCUGGACCUCACUCCCCUCUCUGCUCUCUCUCUCUCUUUCUCGCGACCGAGUGGAGCUCGUCGCCGCUGACGUGCACCACCACGGCCACCGCCUCCCCCUCGCCUCUCCGACAUACCCAGGAGCUCCGCCACCGACGCCUAUGCCUCUCUGUCAACUCACGCGAUGCCAAACACCGCCGAACGUCGUCUUCGCCUUCGUCUUCAACCUCGGGCACCCGAGCCCGUCUCCAGUCGAUUCGGCGCUGCCAGGACCUCCCCGAGCUCGCUGACCCCCUCUACGACAUCCCUGUGAGCUCCGCCGCUUUUCCCCUCUCUCCCUGCCGUCGUUCUCCUCCCUUAGCCCCACUGACCACUAUGGCCGAAGCUCGCCGCUGCCAUGCCUCGUCGCCGCCGUGGCUAGAGCCGUUGUAGCUCGAAGCUGAGCACACCACCGUGCUCAGCACGUUCUCAUGAGCCCGUAGCCACCCGCAACGCCAUCCCCCCGUGCUCUGUAGCCCCAUCUCGCUCAACACCCGAACGCCGGUCGCCGCUACGAGCUCGACUCCGGCGAGCUCGGGCCACCUCAGCCCCUGCCGUUUGCACAAGUGGAUGCGGGCGAGUCCCAGCUCCAUGUAGAUGCCCUCCGCCGGCCAUUUGGUCGCCGAAGGAGGAAUCCCGAGCCCCUCCGCCGUCUCGGCCUUCGCCGGCGACGAGCCGCGGGUCAACUUCGGCGAGUUGACCCGGGGGUUUGACCCCGUCUGACCAGGGUUUGACCACCCUGGGUCACUGACGCGUGGGGCCAGCGCUGCUAGAUAACCCAGGUUAGUGUUAAUUUAUUUAGUUAGUUUAAUUAGCCUCUGACAUGUGGGCCCAGGCCUUAACUAAACUAGAUUAGGUUUAGUUUAAUUUUAAUUAACCUUGUUAGUUAACUGUGUCACUAAUGUGUGGACCCCACACGUCAGGUUUGACCUGGACCGAGCCGUUGACCUGCUGGCAUCACUGUGAGGUCAGGCUGACGCAAUAAUUCCUUUCUGGAAUUUAAAUAAAUCUUAAAUGAUUUAUUAUUUUCAGAAAAUACCCAAAACUUCAAAAAAUCAUAGAAAUGCAACCGUAACUCCAAAUGAGAUAAUUUAUAUAUGAAAAAUUAUCAGAAAAAUAUGAAGAAUCUGUUUAUGCCACGUUCAUGCAUGUUUGAGAAAGUUAAGAUCACCAACUAGGACAAUUCAUGUUUAUGGAGUAUAUGGUAUGUAGUUUUGCAGUUGGAAUUUGCUAUAUGUUUGAAUUCCACUUCAAUUAAUAUGACUAACUGUUGCAUUAGGUGAAUUCAGUACCUUAACAUGCCAUGAUCAUACAUCAUGUCUGUUGCAUUGAAUUGAUUGUGUUCCCUCUUGGUUGCCGGUAAUUGUCCCCUCUCAGUAGACGACGUUCGGACAAUGAGAUUGAUGACACCGAUGAAGAGCUAUAAUAUCUUCAGAAGUGCCAGGCAAGCAAAACCCCCCAUGUUCAUUCCGAUACAAUCCCACCCUCUCGCUCUUGCUCUCUUUUACUGCAUUAGGACAACAACGAUUCAACUGUUACAUGCUGCGGUAGUUGAACCCCUUUCCUCUGCAUGACCUGUCAUUGCCACAGUAAAUAGAUGAAACCCACUAGUAUGAGUAGGAGUUGUUUGAGCCCUGAUGUGCCUACUCAUUCAUGCUUCUUUGUCAUGCGUGUUACUGCUUAGAGUUGAGUCAGGUCUGAUUCAUCAGGAAUGAAUUGGAACGUGGUGAACAUGUCUUACCGUGGAGAGCUAAGUGUGUGAACACGAUUUGGUAAAGCUAGCGGUGAGAGGCCAUGUAGGAGUACAUGGUGGGUUGUCUCAUUGCAGUCGUCCUUAGGAACUGAGUUAUGUGUCUGUGAUCCAUGAACAACUACUACCACUCAUUGGGAUCCUUAAUUGACCCUCUCGACUUUGUAAUCACCCUAGUACUCUGUCCAGGAGUUGCAACUAGUUUCUGGUGUUUGUAGGUUAUUUGUUGGUGGCCGUGCGUAGCACUGACCCUAGGGGUGGGCUAUGAUGCGGUAGAUACACUAUGGCAUGGUGUACCAGGCGCCCGUUUGGUGUCUCGGGAACCCUGUUCACAUCGUUCGUGGCCGUAUGUGGAAACCUUGGCCGGACUCCCUAUGGAUGGAACCUAGAUAGGCGAUAAACCUAGACUAGACACUUGAGUGUUUAGGUAGAGCCGUGGCCGACACCCUCAUUGCGCUUUCGCUCGAAGGUUGCCGAGUACAUGUCGUGUAAACAACGGUAAGUGGUUGGAGCGUGUGUGAAGAAGUACAACCCUGCAGGGUUUUCAUUAUCUAUUCGAAUAGCCGGAUUCCUCAGAUAUGGAAACUUGGACCCCUUGCAUAGUUCAUAGACAAGUGAAAGUGGAUACUCUAAAACUCGCAAGAUAAGCGUGAGUGCUAUGGAUGGCCUUCUCGUAGGGAGACAGGAGCGGAUCCAUAGUGGUGUAUUAAAUGGUGAAUAUGUGGACUCGUGUGCGCCACCUCAAAAGAGUUGCUUGCAGUCAUAGUUCAGGAUAGCCACUGAGUCAAAGCUGGCUUGCUGCAGUUAAACUCCACCACCCCCCUUGUUGAUACCGAUGCAUAUGUAGCUAGUUUUGAUGUAAGUCUUGCUGAGUACUUUUGUACUCACGUUUGCUUAAUUUAUGUUUUGCAGAGAGACUUCAGCCUCGCUAGUAGUUCCGCGUGGACUUUGAUGUUUAGCUUGAUACCUCAGCUAUGAUCUUGUGCCCUCGGCAAGAUCUGGUAGAUAGUCAGGCUUCUUAGCCUUUUUUUCAUUUGUAGAUGUCUGUACUCAGACAUGUUAAGCUUCCGCAUGUGCUUUGAUUUGUAUUAUAUGAUUGUUGGGUCAUGAGACCCAUGUUUGUAAUAUCUCGCUCCUCGGAACCUAGUGAAUAAAUACUUGAGUUGUAGAGUUAUGUUGUGAUGCCAUAUUGUAUUUACACAUAUCGAGAAUAUUGUGUGUAUGAUUGAAAUGCUUGGUAUGUGUGGGAUCCGACAAUCUAAUUGUUUAUCCUUGGCAGUCUCUCUUAUCGGGAAAUGUAGUCUAGUGCUUCCAUGAGCGAUAGUAGUCCGCUACAGCCCGGUUCACCGGAGUCCUGUUAGCCUAGCACUACUGCUCAGGACACUUGACUGGCCGGCAUGUCUUUCACUUCGUUCCUGUGUCUGUCCCUUUGGGGAAAUGUCACGCGGUGACAUCCGGAGUUCUGCCUAGCCUACUACAGCCCGGGUUCCCGGAGUCCUGUUAGCGCAGUGCUACAGCCCGGAUUCACACGCUGCUAACUAACAUGCUCGAUGUGAUUCAUGUAUGCCUGUCCCCAUAGGUUAUUGCCGCUUUUGGUUCACGAGUAGCCAUAUCGGCCCGGGUUCUCUAUCAUAUGGAUGCUAGCGACACUAUCAUAUAUGUGAGCCAAAAGGCGCAAACGGUCCCGGGCCAUGGUAAGGCGACACCCGUGGGAAUACCGUGUGUGAGGCCACAAAGUGAUAUGAGGUGUUACCGGCUAGAUCAAUGUGACUUGGAAUCGGGGUCCUGACAGCGUUGGUAUCAGAGCCUGGCUGCAUGUAGGAUUACCAAGCCAAACUGGUCGAAGUCGAGUCUAGAAAUGCUUUAGUUAUGUAAGGGAAUUGAUUGUGGAAUGGAACGUAAGGCUCUUUUUACUCCUUUACCCUAUGCCUUUCUGAUCUGAGUCAACCUCUUCUUUUCUAUGGGGAUUAAGAAUUAGGCCUUCUCAUCUAUCUAUCAGGAUGACGUGCUACUAAUCCACAAACUUAUAGAAUUGAUAGUUUCAAGCCUCAGUUCCGUUCCUACUUCUUCCGUAUGUUGACAGUUGAUCUCAGAACCUUGAUAUUGUGUUGUUGAGUGGUUAUGCCACCAUUUUUGCAGGAUGUCUCAAAUAAUUUUGAGCAUUUACAGCCGUUAUGCUGUCCGAGUCAUCCCAGGUCUCUAAAUAGUUUGAUGCAUUUGCAAAUCCCUUCUUCCCGUUCCCGAUGUCCAUUUGGGCCAGUUCAACCACACUAAUUGAUGAGUUGAGGUACUCUAUUGCCUCCACAUAUAUGUUGGAGCUAUUUUUAUGGCCAUAGGUGUUUUAGGGAGUCACCUAGUGAUCUAGCCAUGUUUUGUAUCCCAGUGUGUGAUUCUGGCCAUUAUUCUCGAAAGCAUCCCAUGAUGCCAUGUAGUAGUAGGUAUUCUAUUCCUGGGUUAAGGUAUUCUAUUCCUGGGUUCUUGAACCCGAGAUUCACCUUACUUACCUCAUGUCGAUAGUGUUUGCUAGUUCCUUAGGAUAUUAGUAACCUUUGCAUUAGUCCUCGAGGUCCGUAGUAGUUCCUUCUUCCAAAUACUACGAACCGCUUAUGGCAGAAGUUCUUUGAACCAAAAGAUCACAACCAGAGUGCUCUUGAUGAGUUCUCCAUUCUGCAUUGUGAAUCUGCUAGUCCUACCUUUCUGCAUGGGUUAUCAGGAGGAAAUAUGUUGAACUUGGUCGACAUACUAAUCUAUGCAUACACAACUUAGAAAGUUAUAUGUUCUUUUGAGUUGUCCCUCUUUAGUUGUAUUCCGACCUUCAUCUAUCAAUUGAUAGUCAAGAGUAUGUGUGUGAUCGUGUUCAUCGAUGCCUAUUAUUUUUGUGGUCCGUCAAGCCAUUCUAUGCCGGAAUGACUAGGAGAAACAAACUCCAAUACCUCAUCCAUUUCUAGGAUUGGGUCAAAGCAGUUGUAUUCCGCAGAUCAAAUGCAAUCAAGCUUUUGAUUCUGUUCUACCCUGAAGUAUUACCCACUUUAUGUCAGGAACAUCAUGAGAAUUGCACCUUCUCUUAUGAAUUCUUGAUGCAGUGAUACUCUCGCCAUCAUCGUUCAUUCCUUAGUCCCGUGUUGUUGCAACCGGAAUGCCGACAAGUGAAUCGUGAUGUGUGAAAUCAAUACCCCUAGCAACUGUGUUGCUUGGUAGUGAAUGGACAAUAUUCUCAUCCUUAGCGUGUUGAUUAUCGAAUCAUCACCCUAAGGUUUGUCGUGCUACCUAGUCCUUAUUUCUGAUGCACUUUUCGAUCAAUGAGUUAGGAUUGUGUCAGUCCCUCGCUCUCUUGUUCACAUCGUCUUGCUCUGAAAAGCAAGAUUGUUCCCAAGCUUAGAAACAUAUUGGUGGUUCGUGAUUUUCUAAAUAUUUCCUCGGAAGUAUCACCAGGUUGCCCCCUGACUAUUAUGUUGAGCUCGUGAUCAAGUUGGUUUCUUUUAAAACCAUCCCUUCUCCAAGAAUCUGUGUUGGAUACCCCGAGCUAGUUGGUUAAGCUGAACAACAACUUGGAGAAUUGGAAGAUGAAAGCUUGUCCGACUCAGUUCAUUCCAAAGGGAUAUCCUUGUGUGUGUGUUGAAUAAAGAUGAUAUUUUCAUCGAUUGUUCCUCGGGAUCGGUUGUUGAAUCUAUCUUCUUGUCCAAACCUUGAUUUGAGUGUGGGCUAUCGUCAAGUCAAAUGAGAACCAACGAUGUUCAUAAUGUUGUCUUACUCGUGGUUGUUUCCUCAAGCAUACACCGUUAUAUCUUUUGGGUUUGACCAAUGCUAUCACCUUGUUCACAUAAUUAUGGAAUUCCAUCUUCACGGAAAUCUGGAUGACCUAUUGUUGAGCCCAUCGACAAUAUUUUCAUCUUAUCCAUGAUUCAUGUUGAACAUUAAGCUAGUGAUGGAAACUUUGAAUGCAUUUCUUCAUGCUAGCUCAUGAAGCAUAUGUUUGGUAUAAGAAGUGACUUCCUCUAGUUCAGGUGCUUUUGAAGCAAGUUGCUGCCAUGAAUUUGGGAAAGUUUGUUUCGCUUCCUCUAGAAUCAUUCCAAGUCAGUCAUGCAUACGUGCGAAGUAUUCUGUGGUCUGGAGACUUGCAACCUUCAUUCUAUAUGUAUUCCUAACACACCAAGCCACUAAUUGAAUUGUUCAAGGAGAAGAAGUCCCUUCUUAAGAGCAUGCCUUAUGCAAGGACUUUAAUAUCCUCGAUGAUGGUUCCCCACCUGAACUCGAUAGUGUUUUAUUAUAAGACUACUAUGUGGCCAUUCUUGUCUUGGACAACGUGUUCACAUGUGUGUAGCAGAACCCGCUCAUCUUUUGGAGUUUACUAUCGUAGUUCAAAUCCCGAGAAUCUCGCAACAUCGUAUCGUCGGUUUGUGUUGCGAACUUCCUCUCCGGACAUGUUGUCUGAAAUAUCCCGUUACCAACCAGAUCUAAAUCUCAGGCUGAUAUGAUGGUUGGAACUUCUCCAAGAUCUAUGAUGUAGGUCCCGACAAGGUUGAUGUUCUGGCCGACGCACCUAGCCGGAGAAUCUAUCACUAUAGUAUCUUGAUUGGGCAAUUUGUCCAUCUUCUCCGCGAGGAUUUCAUGCGGCUUAUCCUAUAACUUGUUCCUUAGGGAUUCUUGUGCACUUGGUUUCCUCGAUUAAGCUAUGACCAUUCGAACGGUGGAAUCACUCUCGUUGAGUUAUUCCCAGUUACCAGAAUCAUUCCCAGCAUUUGCAUUUAUUCCCAGCUUGCACCUCAGUAAUUAAUGUUUAGGAUCAUCUUCAAAAGUGGUCCUACUAUGGGUCCCAUCCAUCCCUGAUGAUAAGCAAAAUCAUCCAUUGUGUUGUCUUCAACAAGGUAGUCCACAUCAUCCAUUCUGGUAUGGGUAUGCCAUUCUUUCGAAUUCGUUCACACAAUCAUUUGUGAAUGCCCUAGGCUGGUAUAAAGAAUUUAAAUGAUCUUGUAUCAAAAGUAAUUCUUUUUGCCACUUAAGGGAAUAGUUCUUCGAGUCACCUUCCCCGAGGUGCCCCGUUUUGGAAUCAUGGCAAUUUUCCUCGCUACUUUGAAACCCUCGUCAAAUUGUUUCUUCUAUCGCUCCUGAUGCAAGUUUUGCCUCUCAGCUCCGGAGAUGUUUCUAUGUCUCAUUCCGUGAGUUGAUCUUCUGAUCAUCAAGAUGAUCCUAAGUUGCUCGAACCUCAAGAAGAUCGAUUCUUCUAAAAAUUGUCCCUUUCUACUCGUUGUCAUGUCGGACGUAGUUCUCAAAGCAAGACGCCAAGAUCAAUAUGAUGCAAUGGAUCAAUAUAUUCGAGAAGAGCAGUUGGGUCAUGAGGAUUGCAUUAGAUUUGUGUCCCCUCUGUCUUCUUACCUCACGUCUUGAAUCUCGGGACGAGAUUCUUGUUUAGUGGGGGUGAGUUGUCACAGCCCUAGAAUAUUGCCUGUAAAUAGUUGCAUCUUCAUUCAGGUAUCAUAUUUAAAUUUCUGAAACUUGAAUUGAGGUUUGUUGAAACCCUCAGAAAUCAGUUCAAAAAUAACCAACUUUAAAAAUCUUCUCAAAUGAGUCCAAUAAAAUGUUCCUGUUAUUCCAUAGAAUUAUUGGCAAGAGCUAAAAUUCAAACCAAUAUUUUUAUGAGCUCAGAAACAUUUAUUUUGGCCAUUUGAACUAAUCCAAUAAUUAUUUGCUUUGGAUUUAUAUUUAAUAUAUAUUAAAUAUAACUUCAAUAAUUCUGGAAGUUUGUGAGUGGCUUUGUAUAUAUUUUAGCAAGACAUAUAAUAACCUACAUAAUUUAUCAAAAUGAUUUAGUGGCUAAAAGUAAUCAAAAAAGAGAGGAAAUAAAAUAGAAAACAGUAAUUAAAAUAGAAAACGGAGAAGGAGGGAGUACCUGGGCCUUACCUGGCAGAAGAGGCCCAACCCACCAGGGGCUGAGUGGUCUUCUUCCUCCUGCCAGGAGGACAGGCAGGUGCGUGGCGAGCGCGCUGACGACGCCUUGCCACCUCCUGCUUCAGCCGCACAACCCCGGCCCUCCAGACGUGCCACGGAGACACCCAGCGCUCCCUCUCUCUUCCCCUCCUCUCCCUGGACCUCACUCCCCUCUCUGCUCUCUCUCUUUCUCGCGACUGAGCGGAGCUCGUCGCUGUCGACGUGCACCACCGCGGCCACCGCCUCCCCCUCGCCUCUCCGACAUGCCCAGGAGCUCCACCACCGACGCCUAUGCCUCUCUGUCGACUCACGCGAUGCCAAACGCCGCCGAACGUCGUCUUUGCCAUCGUCUUCAACCUCGGGCACCCGAUCCCGUCUCCGGUCGAUUCGGCGCUGCCAGGACCUCCCGGAGCUCGCUGACCCCCUCUACGCAUCCCUGUGAGCUCCGCCGAUUUCCCCCUCUCUCCCCGCCGUCGUUCUCCUCCCUUAGCCCCACUGACCACUACGACCGAAGCUCGCCGCCGCCGUGCCUCGUCGCCGUCGUGGCUAGAGCCGUUGUAGCUCGAAGCUGAGCACACCACCGUGCUCAGCACAUUCUCAUGAGCCCGUAGCCACCCGCAACGCCAUCUCCCAGUGCUCUGUAGCCCCGUCUCGCUCAACACCCGAACGCCGGCCGCCGCUACGAGCUCGACUCUGGCGAGCUCGGGCCACCUUAGCCCCUGCCGUUUGCACAAAUGGAUGCGGGCGAGUCCCAGCUCCACGUAGAUGCCCUCCGCCGGCCAUUUGGUCAUCGGAGGAGGAAUCUCGAGCCCCUCCGCCGUCUCGGGCUUCGCCGACGACGAGCCGCGGGUCAACUCCGGCGAGUUGACCCGGGGGUUUGACCCCGUCUGACCAGGGUUUGACCACCCUGGGUCACUUACGCGUGGGGCCAGCCCUGCUAAUUAACCCAGGUUAGUGUUAAUUUAUUUAGUUAGUUUAAUUAGCCUCUGACAUGUGGGCCCAGGCCUUAACUAAACUAGAUUACGUUUAGUUUAAUUUUAAUUAACCUUGUUAGUUAAGUGUGUCACUGACGUGUGGACCCCACACGUCAGGUUUGACCUGGACCGAGCCGUUGACCUGCUGACGUCAUUGUGAGGUCAUGCUAAUGCAAUAAUUCCUUUGUGGAAUUUAAAUAAAUCUUAAAUGAUUUAUUAUUUUUAGAAAAUACCCAAAACAUUAAAAAAUCAUAGAAAUUCAACCGUAACUCCAAAUGAGAUAAUUUAUAUAUGAACAAUUAUCAGAAAAAUAUGAAGAAUAUGUUUAUGCCAAGUUCAUGCAUGUUUGAGAAAGUUAAGAUCACCAGCUAGGACAAUUCAUGUUUAUGGAAUAUAUGGUAUGUAGUUUUGGAGUUGGAAUUUGCUAUAUGUUUGAAUUCCACUUCAAUUAAUAUGACUAACUGUUGCAUUAGGUGAAUUCAGUACCUUGACAUGCCAUGAUCAUACAUCAUGUCUGUUUCAUUGCAUUGAUUGUGUUCCCUCUUGGUUGCCGGCAAUUGUCCCCUCUCAGUAGACGACGUUCCGACGAUGAGAUCGAUGACACCGAUGAAGAGCUAUAAUAUCUUCAGAAGUGCCAGGCAAGCAAAACCCCCCUUGUUCAUUCCGAUACAACCCCACCCUCUCGCUCUUGCUCUCUUUUACUGCAUUAGGACAACAGCAAAUCAACUGUUACAUGCUGCGGUAGUUGAACCCCUUUCCUCUGCAUGACCUGUCAUUGCCACAGUAAAUAGAUGAAAUCCACUAGUAUGAGUAGGAGUUGUUUGAGCCCUAAUGUGCCUACUCAUUCAUGCUUGUUUGUCAUGCCUGCUACUGCUUAGAGUUGACUCAGGUCUGAUUCAUCAGGAAUGAAUUGGAACAUGGUGAACAUGUCUUACCGUGGAGAGCUAAGUGUGUGAACACGAUUUGGUAAAGGUAGUGGUGAGAGGCCAUGUAGGAGUACAUGGUGGGUUGUCUCAUUGCAGCCAUCCUUAGGAACUGAGUUCUGUAUGUGUGAUCCAUGAACAGCUACUACCACUCAUUGGGAUCCUUAAUUGACCCUCUCGGCUUCUUAAUCACCCUAGUACGCUGUCCAGGAGUUGCAACUAGUUUCUGGUGUUUGUAGGUUAUGUGUUGGCGGCCGUGCGUAGCGCUGACCCUAGGUGUGGGCUAUGAUGUGGUAGAUACACUGUGGCACGAUGUACCGGGCGCCCGUUUGGUGUCUCGGGAACCCUGUUCACAUCGUUCGGGGCCGUAUGUGGAAACCUCGGCCGGACUCCCUGCGGAUGGAACCUGGAUAGGCUAUAAACCUGGACUAGAGACUUGAGUGUUUAGGUAGGCCGUGGCCGACACCCUCAUUGGGAUUCCGCUUGAAGGUUGCCGAGUACAUGUCGUGUAAAUGACGGUAAGUGGUGGGAGCGUGUGUGAAGAAGUACACCCCUAUAGGGUUUUCAUUAUCUAUUCGAAUAGCCGGAUUCCUCGGAUAUGGAAACUUGGACCCCUUGCAUAGUUCAUAGACAAGUGAAAGUGGAUACUCUAAAACUCGCAAGAUAAGCGUGAGUGCUAUGGAUGGCCUUCUCGUAGGGAGAUGGGAGCAGAUCCAUAGUGGUGUAUUGAAUGGUGAAUAUGUGGACUCGUGUACGCCACCUCAAAAGAGUUGCUUGUAGUCGUAGUUCAGGUUGGCCACUGAGUCAAAGCUGGCUUGCUGCAGUUAAACUCCACCACCCCCUUGUUGAUACCGAUGCAUAUGUAGCUAGUGCUGAUGUAAGUCUUGCUGAGUACUUUUGUACUCACGUUUGCUUAAUUUAUGUUUUGCAGAGAGACUUAAGUCUCACUAGUAGUUCCGCGUGGACUUCGAUGUUUAGCUUGAUACCUCAGCUACGAUCUUGUGCCCUCGGCAGGAUCUGGUAGAUAGUCAGGCUUCUUAGCCUUUUUUUCAUUUGUAGAUGUCUAUACUCAGACAUGUUAAGCUUACGCAUGUGCUUUGAUUUGUAUGAUAUGAUUGUUGGGUCAUGAGACCCAUGUUUGUAAUAUCUCACUCCUCGGAGCCUAAUGAAUAAAUACUUGAGUUGUAGAGUUAUGUUGUGAUGCCAUGUUGUAUUUACACAUAUCGAGCAUAUUGUGUGUAUGAUUGAAAUGCUUGGUAUGUGUGGGAUCCGACAAUCUAGUUUUUUAUCCUUGGCAGCCUCUAUUAUGGGGAAAUGUAGUCUAGUGCUUCCAUGAGCUAUAGUAGUCCGCUACAGCCCGGUUCACCGGAGUCAUGUUAGCCCAGCACUACUGCUCAGGACACUUGACUGGCCGGCAUGUGUUUCACUUUGUUCCUGUGUCUGUCCCUUCGGGGAAAUGUCAUGCGGUGACAUCCGGAGUCCUGCCUAGCCUGCUAUAGCCCGGGUUCCCGGAGUCCUGUUAGCCCAGUGCUACAACCCGGAUUCACACGCUGCUGACCGACAUGCUUGAUGUGAUUCAUGUAUGCCUGUCCCCAUAGGUUAGUGCCGCUUUGGGUUCACGACUAGCCAUGUCGGCCCAGGUUCUCUGUCAUAUGGAUGCUAGCGACACUAUCAUAUACGUGAGCCAAAAGGCGCAAACAGUCCCAGGCCAUGGUAAGGCGACACCCGUGGGAAUACCAUGCUUGAGGCUGCAAAGUGAUAUGAGGUGUUACCGGCUAGAUUGAUGUGACAUGGAAUCAGGGUCCUGACAGGAGCCGGCUGGAGCGCGAGCGGGCCGAUCAUGACGAGGUCCAGGAUCGCCUCAGCCACUUGGUGAACCAAGUUGCCACACACGUGUUGCGGCUGCGCGAUGCCUACCAUCAUGCCAACGUGAUGAUGCCGGCCGUCGGGCUAAACCCGUUCGACCACCCGGUCGACUUCAACGAGAUGCGGCUUCCUGACCUGGUCUCCUUCUUCACCUAUAUCUCCGAGGAGCUAAGAGUCUCCGCGCGAUGGUGGGGGCUGAGCUGGACAAGGAGGGGUUGCGGGCUGCCGUCACCGUUGCCGGGCGAAUCCUUUCAGGGCUCCGUCACCGGAAUCCAUUCAUGCCAUUGGAUGCCGUCUUUGAUGAGCUGGCUCCCGUCGACCGGGAGCGGGCUCUGCGGGCGGUUGCACCCUGCAUCACCAAGCCGUGCGCCUUGAGAAGCAGAGGGACUUCGGUGGUGUUUAGGCGCCCUCUGCAUGGGCAUGUCCAUGUCUUGGCGCAACAUGACCGUUGGAUCAAACUCAGAAGGUGCAGAUCAGUCACUGUAGCACCAAGCGUGUGGGUGUGUUUGCUUGCAUUCUCAUCUCAAUAUAGUUGUUUCCUCUUCGUGUAUUUGUUACAUAUAGGAGUAGUUGACAUGCGCACAACAUCAUUUGUUAUCGUCAUAUCUUACUACACUAGCAACAAGAUUGUGUAGUACUGACGUAUGAACCACUUCACAUGCCUAGUAGUAGGAGCACUGUGUAUGUUCAAGUGGCUGCCGUGUUUCGCACUCCUCCAUCGUAAGAGUGGAAACGCUUGCUGUAAUCAUUUUUUCUUUUGAAAAACAGUGGACAUGCUCUACCGUGCGGAUCCUCCUCCAGCCAUGCACUAAAUUACUCACUUUCGCCGACAUGUGGGACAGCCAGCAUCGGGGUCCACCAGCCAUACACUAAAUUACUCCGUAGUAGAGUGAUGGUAGACUACCCCGAUCGAAGCGCCACAGUAAUGCCCAAUGAGCCGUCAAAUCGCAAAAACCCCUCCUCUCGAGCAGUAAGUUGGACGGACGAAGCAACCAUCAUUUCACUCUUCUCUCUCAGCUUCCUCUCUACCCAACCCUCGCUUUUGCCUCAUCUUGUUCCUCAUUUCUUCAAGAAAACCCUGACCUGCUUCUGCCAUUGUUCUUCUCUCCCAAAGAAGGAAAGGUGAGCACAUCAAUGGUGUUGAUUCUGGCCAAGGCCCGGCCUUGCAACCCCGAGACUUAUCCUAUAACUCCCUCUCUUUUCUUCUUUUGGGUUUGUGAUUAUGGUUUCUUUUCUUUUAUUUCUAUUUGACAGUUUCUUGAUGGACGCUGGAGCACCAGCCAAGUGAUGUCUAUGGCUCCGGCCAAAACCGUCGAGGCUCAUGGUACGAAGAAGUGCAAGCACCCUGCCGAGACUACCGCAGACAAGCUCAAAGCCAUCACCCUGUCCAAGCCCCCCUGUCCGGGAUCCCUCAUUAAGCAAGUCCAGGUAAUAUCUCUUCUUGACGAUCUUUUUCUCGAUCUUGAUCGUGUUUUUUCAUCUAACACGCAGUACUAGUACUACUAGUACAACUUUCUGGGUGAUCUUGCAUGUGAUUUUUGUGUGCCAAAUGACGGCUCUAAAUUCCUCUUUUGACCAAAACAUGCGAGAGGUUGACACUGAUUUCUUAUAGAUUACUUUCAACUACUCCCUCUGUCCCCAAUUUCUUGUCUUAGAUUUGUCUAGGUACGGAUGUAUCUAAUACUAAAAUGUGACUUGAUACAUCCGUAUCUAGACAAAUCGAAGACAAGAAUUUUGGGACAGAGGGAGUACUUUAUGAACAUCAAUGCUACCUUUUAAGAGGGUAUAUUUGCCUCAGUAACUUGUGUUAUGGAUUUUGCAUGUAAUCCCUCUGCUCUCAUGCCUUUGAAGACAUGUUCUAGUGUCUUUGUUCACUCAUUUCUGUGCGUAUAUGUAGUCAUAUAUGGAGUAUAAUAUCGAAAAUCACCUUAUAUUUCUGAACGGAGGUAGUAAUAAAAUAUGGUUUUUGUUUGAAUUAGAACCAGGUCCGCGGUGGAGAUGAAGUUCUCAAAGUCAUGUCGUGUGAACUGGAAGACCUGAUGAUGAGUUCUACUGCUAAACUAUCCAGCUGUUGUGUCCUUGUCACCAUGUGUCCUGAACUAGUGUUUUCCUGUAGCAUUGUUGUCAAGCGUGUUCUCGAGGUUGUACUUGACCACAACAAUUUCCUGGCCGUGCCUUCGAUUACGAAGGGUGUGGUUCUUGUAAAGCUUCCCAACAAAUCUGAUGCGGCCUAUCUUCAUCAUCAUGUUUAUGAGUGGAAAGACCACUUUGUUAGGUUCUCCAAGGUUGACAAGAUGGUGAUGGUGCGUGUAGACAUCUCACACGAAGUCCAUGGCCUAGUCACUUAUGCAGGGUUCAUCCCGUAGGUCGGUGGCAAGAAAUAGUUUGCAGAGUUUAGUUAGUGCAACUUUGUUUGUCUGUAGUAAGUACUAUUGUUCAGUACUUGAUUUGUGUUUGUGAACCCUGUAUUGUUUAUUAGUACUACCGCUUUUGGUGUGUGGUUAGUCCUGAGAAUGGUCUAUGUUAAUGUCUAUCCACUCAAUUCAGUCCGUAUAUUUUGAAGUAUCCAGAUCAUAUUUUUUGUGAGGACGGUUUAUCAAUUAUGGUUACACUCCAAUAUCUGUAUGCAUUGCAGGGUUUAUCACACCCACCAGGAUUUCCAGUCCCAUGGAUAUUCGGUCCAUACGAUUUGUCACGACCUUUGGACUGUCCUGCUUGUGGGAGUAGGCAGGGCCCCUGCAUGCCACGCGUAGUUGAAUGAUCAAUCUUCUGUUUAGUACUUCAACAUAGUGAUUUCCUGGUAAGGAUUCACUCAUGUCACAUCAAGUAAAUCUUAUUGAUUUACUGUCUAAAUCUUAUUGAUUUAAUGUCAUGUUUUCUUUCUUUUCCUGCAAUUUUACGAUGCAGGUUUUUCCAUGUGACAUUCAUCACAGAAUAAACCGUUUGGUUUUCUCUACGAUGGCUAUUUUUGCAGGUUUCACUUCUAAUGUCGUGUCAGUAACGAAGGCACUAUCCAUCACUUAUAUUACUGGAAAAAAUUAGAUCAGUCUGUUGUCUGAGUACAAGCUGAAUCCCUAUGAUGAAAUGCAGUUUGGUUUAACAAAAAUGCCACAAUUAGUCCUUCUCGCGUUUAAAAGAAAUGAAGAAAAAAACUAGAUCACGGUCAUGGAUCCUAGUCAAGUUAGAAAGCUGAUCAUAGCAGACCAGACAUGAUCGCCGCUGUCUCGCACAGAUCGAGGACCGGCAGUUGCUCUAGCACUGACAGCGGCAACAGCUCAGUCUGAUCUACCGGAGCAUCGGGCAUCGACACCGGCACCUGCUCCGACACCAGCACCAGCUCUACAAGGAGCACCAUCUCCGGCAGCAGCAGCGGCUUCGGCACCUGCACCAAUACUUGCACUUGCAUCUGCUCCGGCCCGUGCAGUUGCACCGGCAACAGACUAGGCUGCAGUUCGCACUUCAUAUACCAAAGUCCUUACAAAAACCGACAUGUCCACCUUCUUGGUAAGCAUUGGCCGCCCAAGUGCUCCGUUCUUUUUUCUUUCCAUGUUGUUUCACAUGAUUCACUGUGUUGAUCUAACUGUUUGGGUAUGUCUUCUUGUUUGCAAACAGAGAAUUCCUAGAGCAACGAGUGAGUCGUUCAACAAUCCGGGCGACCGCGGCCAAGUUUCUCUUACCAUGCGCAGCCUUGGUGUGAAUGAACCUGCUCAAUAUACCGUAAGUACAAAGGAUGGUCACAUGAUGAUUGAUGCUAACGGAUGGUCAAGGUUCAAAUCUAAAUCAUAUCUUGCGGUAGGGGAUGAUGUCAAAAUCGAACUUUCUUGGCAAGGAGAGCUGGUCCAAAUCAACUUUGAAAUUAGCAGCACGCAACUGCCGAAAUGAUCUAUCCUCCGAGAGAUUUUGAUGUAAUAAUCUGGCAUGGUGAAACAAGUGUCCUGUGUGUAUAAGUAGUACGACAGUAUUAUUUAUCACAUGGUAUAUCAUUGAUAGAAUUGCAACUCUGAUUGCUGGUUAGGAACUGUAGUUCGAUUUCAUUCCAACAACUAUCGUGCUUUAUUCAAUUUUGUGUAUUCGCCUUGCGACAGCAUCUAAAACUAGCGCUGUACCGAUCGCUUGCAAUAUGAAAAGCGCUGAGGUAGAACACAUGGGCCCCCAAACAUGCAGGGUCGGCCUGUGGCCCAAAGUCCAGAACCGUGAGCCUAUCAGAGUAUUAUAUUCUUAGCUAAACCCCCAUAAAAAAGUUGAACCCCCAUAAUGUCCGUGCGUUGCAGAGGGAGUAUAUUUCUCGGCAAGGUGAGCCUGUGAUAUAAAAGAUUUGUAUAUUUCUUUACAGAGGGAGUAUUUCUCUGUCAAAAAAUAUAUUUAUGUGUAACUAGUUACUCCUGUCUUUCUACUUCCUUUCGCUGAUAUGUGGGGCAACCGGCAAUGGGGUCCACGUGCCAUAUGCACAAAUUAGAGUGCACAACUUAACGGUAGACACACCCCGGUCGUAGCGCCAUAGUAAUGCCCAAUGAGCCGUCAAAUCGCAACCCCCCUUUCCAUCUUUAGCAGUAAGCAGGACGGACGAAGCAGCAAUAUUUCACUGGGCCUGAAUCCCCUUCUACCUCGUCUGCUUGUUCAGAGAAAACCCCCUCUCGGCGAUUGCAUAGGGUUUUCUCAUGGAGAACUAGGUACGAAUUCUUCAUCCAUCCCCGAUAAACCCAAGUCCCUUGGUCGCAGGUAAUCCUAGGAUGGCAGCCGCCGUCGUUGAUGCAUUUUUCUUCCUACUGAAUCUAGUGUGUUUAAUUUGUAGUGCCCAAAGUGCGAGUACCGUACAGGUUUCUGCGCCCUCGGUGAGACGCCACACUUGUUCCUUCUCAUCCUAACAUAGCAAUUUGUAAUGCGCACAGUAUGUUCCUAGAAUCCUCUUUUCUAUCCGGGAGGGUGGGGUUUUUUUGAACAUGCUGUGUUCUCAUAUUAUUUUUCCUGCAGUGUAUUAUUUGCUCUGCAAGAACACAUGUACUCAAGAUGCUUGGCCUUGCCAUAACUGAAUACACUAGUUUAAUGGUCACAGUGAAGACAAGCCAUGUAUAUAAGUUCCGAGUUGGGUUCAUGAACCAAGAAGAUCGCUGCUUUUUUAUGGCCGAACUUGGAUAAACAUUCUCAAGUGUUACAGACUGAAAGUUGGCGCACAAAUGUUGAUGGAAAUAGCAGAACCUGGUCUCAUCUUCACUACGAUCUUCCACCCCGAUGUCGUUCCAAUUGUUCAUCCAUGUUAGUUUUGUAUCUGGUUCUUGCUUGUUGCCUCGAUUACUUCUUAAUCCACCUAUUCUGUCUAACUAAUCACAAUUUAACUUUAGAAGUAGCAACGAAUCUCUCACGAAGAUGCUACUUCUAACUAAUAUUUUCUUAUAAUUGGUGGCACGUGUAGGUUUUUUCAGAGUUAAGCAGUCUGCUCGUUUGUUACUCUGUAAUAACUCGGCUAUUACGAAUGGCACUGAAGUUGACUGGAUCGACAUCCACAAGUUCCUACACUUUAUUGAUCAUCUUGAGGUCCUUGUGGGGCAUUUCAAUGGUGGAAGGCCACGUGGGAUAUGUGUGCCACUGCUGCACUCGUUGAAGAGGUCCAACUGUAUCGAGAAACUUAUGGUAUGAGCUAUUUUCUGUUAUAUAUGUUGUUCAUAAACUAUUGCUUAUACACAGUUUUACAGCUGUGAUCUUCUUGAAACAGGAACUGCCGAGUUCUAUUGUUCCUAUACAGAUGCCUGACCAUGGUCGGGUCAGACUUGCGCUUGGUCACAACAGGAUGUAUAUGUCGACCUACUCAAUUCCCCUUGGAGGUGAAAAGAUACUUAUUCAUGGGUGGUCUCAAAUAAUGAAGGCCCGUCCAUCUUGGAGAAUAGGACAGAAGAUUAUGUUCAUGCUUUUCCAUGGCUCUAAAGCGAAUAUCCUUAUUGACCACGUUGUGAGAUGAAGCCGCUUUUAGAAGGUUGUGGAUGCACGGGGUGGCGCCUGGGCCUUGUCCUGGGGCUUGGCGGCCUCACCCUUGGUUAACUGUAGGCAAAGUAGCACUGUUCGAGGCGUGCUUUGUACGAUUGAACCUGUAUAAGUACUCAUACUUCUUUCAGCUUUGGUUGUUAAGUGCCCCUGCUGGUUUCAGUUAAGAUUGUUAAGUAAUCCUGCUGCUUUUACAGUCUGUCGUGUUUCUUCAGUCUUGUCUUCAUCCAGCCGCCAAAACCAAACCAGCGCCGGCGGGGCCGCCUGCUUCCGCCUCCCACGGCUGGCUGCGCCUCAGCGCAUGCAUCGCCGCCCCAUCGUCUCCUAAAUCGUUAACGCUGACGUCCUCCGCGUGCUUUGGUGCGCUCGCCACGGCGCCGCCCUCUCGCAUUGUCAACAUGGUGAACAAACAACGGGAAUCGGCAGAAGUACGUGGAGAGGAUGACAGUAGGGGCCCACCACGUCAGCAUAUGGAAAAAUAAAAUGCUUCCUCCUAGUGUUUUUCUGACAUCUGGGACCCACGACAUUGUGAGCAUAUAUAGUCAAUAGACAAGAGAACAGCACAAGAUCGGCUGACACCUGGGACGUAGCUACUCGAGCAGUAUUUUUUUGUUUGGUAUUGUUGAGACGAAGCAGGGUUUGAACUGGGCUGUGGCCCGUCUAGCCCAGGCUUAUAUUUUAUGUUCAUCAUGUGACCAGCCCAGCUAUUUUUUCUUUGUGAAAAUGAGCCCAGUUUAUUUUUUCUGAAGAAUACCCAAUCCAUGCCUACUUAUUUUUCUACGCCCUGAUGGGCUGCAACUCUUUCAAGAUGCCUGUAAAUCUUGAAAGUAAUAUGAAAUGGGAUGUAAAUAUAAAAACAGAUGCCAAAUUGACAAUUACUUUAUAAUUUCUGAAUUUUAUCACAUUUUCAGAUUCCUAUUUCACUGGGCAUUAACCUAAUUUAAAUAUAUCUUCAAAGUACUUUAAAUCUGGCUGGACAUUUCGGUAUUAAAAAUAGUUUGGAACCCACAGAAAUAUGUGAAAUUGGCCCUGGCCAACCAAAAAAACGACUGCAAUAAAUUGCAUAAGAAGUUUCCAUGAGCUAUAUAUAAAUUAUUAUAUAUAGCCCUGGUGCGCUCGGCGCGGCGUGGUCAACAUGGUCAAGGAACGGCUUCCAUCGGACGUGGACUGUACGUGGAGAGGUUGACAGCUGGGUCCACGGCCGCAGCAAGGAAGUGCCUCCUUAUUACGUGCAAAAUAAUUAUUCCUCCACUUGACAGCGGGGACCCACCGGACGGGCCACCAGUAUUUUGUGAAAAAAAUUGUUUCCCCCUGACUACUGGGACCCACCGGACGGGCCAUCGUAUUUCGUGAAAAAAACGUUCCCCCCGCUGUCAGCUCGGACCCACCGGAAGUGCCUCCUUAUUACGCACAAAAAAAUGAAUACUCCCCCGGCUAGCUGGGACCCACCUUGGUGGGAGGCUAACUUGUGGGCCUACUAAGUUGACGGGGACGAAGGGCUUUGUCAACUUAGUCAAUAUGAACGAUUCUAGCUCCAUUGACCGUACGAUGUCCAUCCAACGGCCGUAGUGCUUCUUCAACCUCUGGUCUUCUUGCUCCAGCUGCCCAAAGAAGCGCCGGUCGUGCCGCAUGCUCCUGCCUCCCGUGGACGACUGUGCUGCCGCGGAGGCCUCACCGCCCCCUACUAUUCCCACCGCUGGCCAGGCCGUGCGGCGACGGCAGCCUCACACCGCAGUCGAACCAGUGAACCCUCAUACUCCUCUCCGCGCGCGCGGGCUUCCACUUCCGCGUCUUCCCCAGCUCCCCGUCGUCCCCUUCCUAGGCCUCGCCAUCGUCCACCGCCCUGGUGCUCUCGGCGCGGCGUGGUCAACGUGGUCAAGGAACGACUUCCAUCGGACGUGGAGUGUACGUGGAGAGGCUGACAGUUGGGUCCACGGCGGCAGCAAGGAAGUGCCUCCUUAUUACGCGGAAAAUAAUGAUUCCUCCACCUGACAGCAGGGAUCCACCGGACGGGCCACCGUAUUUUGCGGAAAAACGUUUACCCCCUGACUGCUGGGACCCACCAGCUACACCUUCACACGCAAGGAAGUGCGUCUGGGCAAAAAAAUGAUUCGCCCCACUGACUGAUGGGACACACCAGCUACAUCUUCGCACGCAAGGAAGUGCGUCGGGGCAAAAAAAACAAAAUGAUUCGCCCCCCUGACUGCUGGGACCCACCAGCCCCCCGACUGCUGGGACCCACCAGCCCCCCGACUGCUGGGACCCACCAGCUACAUCUUCCCACGCAAGGAAGUGCGUCCGGGCAAAAAAAAUGAUUCGCCCCCUGACUGCUGGGACCCACCAGCUACAUGUAGCAGGCAAGGAAGUGCCUGACAGUCGGGACCCACCUGGUUGAAGCGUAUGUAGUGCUGACAUUCUGGUCGCGAACGUGUACGUACAUAUUGGUCGAUGUAGAGGCGUGCACGUGUCGUAGUAGAGCUGCGCACGUGUGUUAGUAGAGGCGCGCAUGUAGCAUGUACACGUACGUACAGCGGCCAGGGUGCAAGAAAGAAAAUACAGCCACGUAGGUGUACAUACGGGCGGGGUCUCGAACGCCUACUCGCGCAUACGCACGGUGAGGGCUCGUGUACAUGGCUGGGUUGGAACGGAGAAACAGCGUCGUCGUCGUGUUCAUGGGUCGGAACGGAAUACGUAGUCAUGUUCAUCGGGAGGGCUUGGACGGAAGUGGCGAUGGAAACGAGGCCUGGCGUACCGCACAACGGAGGAAACGAACCUCCUACGUUCGAAAUGGGGGUCCUAUCGAUCGGGAGGGGUGUGGCGUACCGCAAAACGGAGGAAACGGACCUCCUUCGGUCGAAACAGGGGUCCUGUUGAUUGGGAGGGGUGUGGCGUACCGCAAAACGGACGAAACGGACCUCCUACGGUCGAAACGGGGGUCAUGUUGAUCAGGAGGGGUGUGGCAUACCGCAAAACGGAGGAAAUGGACUUGUGUUGGAGCGCUACGGUCGAAAUGGGGGUCCUGUUCAUCAGGAGGGGUGUGGCGUACCGCAAAACGAGACUCCACGGGAUACUGUUCAUCUCCACCGUCGAACCCCUCCAGCCUCCACGAGCUACGGUUCAUCCACCGUCGACCUCCUCCAGCCUCCACGAGCUCCUGUUCAUCCAGCCUCCACCGCGCACUACUCCACCGGCUACUGUUCAACCAUCCCUCCACCGUCUACUGUUCAUCCAGCCCUCCACACCAUGGGGUCCUGUUCAACCACCCCUCCACGGGCACCCCUCCACCGUCUACUGUUCAUCUUGCCCUCCACACCACGGGGUCCUGUUCAUCCACCCCUCCAUCGUCUACUGUUCAUCCAGCCCUCCACCACACCACGGGGUCCUAUUCAUCCAGAGGCAACGCCACCGCUCACUAUUCAUCCAACCGCCCCGGAACGCUCACUAUUCAUCCCAUCGAUCGGCUUUAGUUAGCAGCAGUAGCCAAGGAAUCGCUCGAUCGGGUUCAGUUAACAGCCAUCGAUCGAUCGCUCGGGUUCAGUAACGCGUAGCCUGCAGUGCAAUCGCUCGGGUUCAGUUAGAGCCCAACGCCUCGCUCGGGUUCAGUUAGAUCCAACGCCUCGCACAUACGCGCGUACGUGUACAAGAGAAACGCGCAUCGCUCGGCCCCGACCUCCCACCGUAACCAGGAACUCCCCGAAAUUUUCCUCCCCUCGCUUCUACCAUGGUUUUUUCCGUCAUGGACGGCCCAAAGAAUGUCAUGUAGCUGCGUCUCCGGCCCGCCCAGGACGAAAAGCCCAUUUUCUGUCAUGAUUUUUUGUCAUAGAAGUAGGAGCCCACCACAUCUAUGAUGAUACCGGGUUUUGUCACAAUUAUCGUCAUAGAAGUGUCAUAUGUAUGACAGAAAAAAAA